RNAcentral lists this transfer RNA (64 nucleotides) under Microglanis leptostriatus. RNAcentral describes it as "tRNA-Cys". Lineage: Eukaryota; Metazoa; Chordata; Actinopteri; Siluriformes; Pseudopimelodidae. The record is from RNAcentral.
AGCCCCGGCCGGUCUUACUCGGCAUCUUUGGAUUUGCAAUCCAAUGUGUAAUACACCACAAAGC